This 432-nucleotide ribosomal RNA is filed under the name uncultured bacterium. RNAcentral describes it as "partial 16S ribosomal RNA". It matches the Rfam family "Bacterial small subunit ribosomal RNA", at positions 29 to 507 of the family's 1533-position model. The record is from RNAcentral.
AACGAACGCUGGCGGCAUGCCAACACAUGCAAGUCGAACGAGACCUUCGGGUCUAGUGGCGCACGGGUGCGUAACGCGUGGGAACCUGCCCUUAGGUUCGGAAUAACUCCCCGAAAGGGGUGCUAAUACCGGAUAAUGUCUUCGGACCAAAGAUUUAUCGCCUUUGGAUGGGCCCGCGUUGGAUUAGCUAGUUGGUAGGGUAAAAGCCUACCAAGGCGACGAUCCAUAGCUGGUCUGAGAGGAUGAUCAGCCACACUGGGACUGAGACACGGCCCAGACUCCUACGGGAGGCAGCAGUGGGGAAUAUUGGACAAUGGGCGAAAGCCUGAUCCAGCAAUGCCGCGUGAGUGAUGAAGGCCUUAGGGUUGUAAAGCUCUUUUACCCGGGAUGAUAAUGACAGUACCGGGAGAAUAAGCUCCGGCUAACUCCGUG